RNAcentral lists this Y RNA (101 nucleotides) under Prolemur simus (greater bamboo lemur). RNAcentral describes it as "Y RNA (ENSPSMG00000015974.1)". It matches the Rfam family "Y RNA". From Rfam's summary of the family: Y RNAs are components of the Ro ribonucleoprotein particle (Ro RNP), in association with Ro60 and La proteins. The Y RNAs and Ro60 and La proteins are well conserved, but the function of the Ro RNP is not known. In humans the RNA component can be one of four small RNAs -- hY1, hY3, hY4 and hY5. Lineage: Eukaryota; Metazoa; Chordata; Mammalia; Primates; Lemuridae. The record is from Rfam by way of RNAcentral.
GGCUGGCCUGAGUGCAAUGGUGUUUACAACUAAUUGAUCACAACCAGUUACAGAUUUCUUUGCUCCUUUUCCAGUUCACUGCUUCACUGGACUAGCCUUAA